Molecule: ribosomal RNA, 481 nt
Filed under: uncultured bacterium
Lineage: Bacteria
Description: partial 16S ribosomal RNA
Rfam family: Bacterial small subunit ribosomal RNA
Source: RNAcentral
GAUGAACGCUGGCGGCGUGCUUAACACAUGCAAGUCGAACGAAGCACUUUAUUUGAUUUCCUUCGGGACUGAUUAUUUUGUGACUGAGUGGCGGACGGGUGAGUAACGCGUGGGUAACCUGCCUUGUACAGGGGUAUAACAGUUGGAAACGGCUGCUAAUACCGCAUAAUCCCACAGCAUCCCAUGAUGCAGUGUGAAAAACUCCGGUGGUAUAAGAUGGACCCGCGUUGGAUUAGCUAGCUGGUGAGGUAACGGCCCACCAAGGCGACGAUCCAUACCCGACAUGAGAGGGUGACCGGCCACAUUGGGAAUGAGACACGGCCCAAACUCCGACGGGAGGAAGCAGUGGGGAAUAUUGCACAAUGGGCGAAAGCCUGAUGCAGCGACGCCGCGUGAGCGAAGAAGUAUUUCGGUAUGUAAAGCUCUAACAGCAGGGAAGAUAAUGACGGUACCUGACUAAGAAACACCGGCUAAAUACGUG